AUUGAACGCUGGCGGCAUGCCUUACACAUGCAAGUCGAACGGUAACGGGCCUUCGGGUGCCGCCGAGUGGCGAACGGGUGAGUAAUACAUCGGAACGUGCCCGAUCGUGGGGGAUAACGAGGCGAAAGCUUUGCUAAUACCGCAUACGAUCUACGGAUGAAAGCCGGGGACCGCAAGGCCUUGCGCGGACGGAGCGGCCGAUGGCAGAUUAGGUAGUUGGUGGGAUAAAAGCUUACCAAGCCGACGAUCUGUAGCUGGUCUGAGAGGAUGAUCAGCCACACUGGGACUGAGACACGGCCCAGACUCCUACGGGAGGCAGCAGUGGGGAAUUUUGGAAAAUGGGCGAAAGCCUGAUCAAGCCAUGCCGCGUGCAGGAUGAAGGCAUUCGGGUUGUAAACUGCUUUUGUACGGAACGAAAAGCCUUCUUUUAAUACAGGAGGGUCAUGACGGUACCGUAAGAAUAAGCACCGGCUAACUACGUG
RNAcentral lists this ribosomal RNA (482 nucleotides) under uncultured bacterium. RNAcentral's name for it is "partial 16S ribosomal RNA". It matches the Rfam family "Bacterial small subunit ribosomal RNA", at positions 30 to 507 of the family's 1533-position model. The record is from RNAcentral.